AGCUGCUGGAGUGUCCCGGUGUGGAUAG
This 28-nucleotide small RNA is filed under the name Bombyx mori (domestic silkworm). Its description in RNAcentral is "ovarian small RNA-12146". The record is from RNAcentral. Lineage: Eukaryota; Metazoa; Arthropoda; Insecta; Lepidoptera; Bombycidae.